RNAcentral lists this ribosomal RNA (502 nucleotides) under uncultured bacterium. RNAcentral's name for it is "bacterial SSU rRNA". It matches the Rfam family "Bacterial small subunit ribosomal RNA", at positions 30 to 504 of the family's 1533-position model. The record is from RNAcentral.
UGAACGCUGGCGGCGUGCUUAACACAUGCAAGUCGUACGAGAAAUCUUUAGCUUGCUAAAGAUAGUAAAGUGGCGCACGGGUGAGUAACGCGUGGGAAAUCUACCUCCGAAUCGGGGAUAACCCGUCGAAAGGUGAGCUAAUACCGGAUGAUAUCCCAAAAACUCCUGUUUUUGGGAUCAAAGGUGGCCUCUACAUGUAAGCUACUGUUUGGAGAUGAGCCCGCGUACCAUUAGCUUGUUGGUAGGGUAAUGGCCUACCAAGGCAACGAUGGUUAGCUGGUCUGAGAGGAUGAUCAGCCACACUGGAACUGACACACGGUCCAGACUCCUACGGGAGGCAGCAGUGGGGAAUUUUGCGCAAUGGGGGAAACCCUGACGCAGCAACGCCGCGUGAGUGAUGAAGGCUUUCGGGUCGUAAAGCUCUGUCAAGUGGGAAGAACAUGAUCGAUGAUAAUACCAUUGUUCAUUGACGGUACCACUAAAGGAAGCACCGGCUAACUCC